CCUACGGGAGGCAGCAGUGGGGAAUCUUGUGCAAUGGACGAAAGUCUGACACAGCCACGCCGCGUGCGGGAAGAAGGCCUUCGGGUUGUAAACCGCUUUCAGCAGGAACGAAAAUGACGGUACCUGCAGAAGAAGAUGCGGCCAACUACGUGCCAGCAGCCGCGGUGAUACGUAGGCAUCAAGCGUUGUCCGGAUUUAUUGGGCGUAAAGAGCUCGUAGGCGGUUCAGCAAGUCGGGUGUGAAAACUCUGGGCUUAACCCAGAGCCUGCACUCGAAACUGCUGUGACUAGGGUUCGGUAGGGGAGCAGGGAAUUCCUAGUGUAGCGGUGAAAUGCGCAGAUAUUAGGAGGAACACCAAUGGCGAAGGCACUGCUCUGGGCCGAUACUGACGCUGAGGAGCGAGAGCGUGGGUAGCAAACAGGAUUAGAUACCCUGGUAGUCCACGCCGUAAACGAUGGGCACUAGGUGUGGGUCUCUAACCAACGAGAUCUGCGCCGUCGCUAACGCAUUAAGUGCCCCGCCUGGGGGAGGUACGGUCGCGAGAACGUUAAACUUACGAAAGAAGUUAGACGGCGNGAGAGNGCGACGGACGACGACGAGGGAGGAGG
RNAcentral lists this ribosomal RNA (608 nucleotides) under uncultured bacterium. Its description in RNAcentral is "bacterial SSU rRNA". The stretch from base 1 to 522 matches the Rfam family "Bacterial small subunit ribosomal RNA", at positions 338 to 873 of the family's 1533-position model. The record is from RNAcentral.